CGGACGGGUGAGUAAUGUCUGGGAAACUGCCCGAUGGAGGGGGAUAACUACUGGAAACGGUAGCUAAUACCGCAUAACGUCGCAAGACCAAAGAGGGGGACCUUCGGGCCUCUUGCCAUCGGAUGUGCCCAGAUGGGAUUAGCUAGUAGGUGGGGUAACGGCUCACCUAGGCGACGAUCCCCAGCUGGUCUGAGAGGAUGACCAGCCACACUGGAACUGAGACACGGUCCAG
RNAcentral lists this ribosomal RNA (232 nucleotides) under uncultured bacterium. RNAcentral's name for it is "partial 16S ribosomal RNA". It matches the Rfam family "Bacterial small subunit ribosomal RNA", at positions 99 to 334 of the family's 1533-position model. The record is from RNAcentral.